GAUGAACGCUGGCGGCGUGCCUAAUACAUGCGAGUCGAGCGAACAGAUAAGGAGCUUGCUCCUUUGACGUUAGCGGCGGACGGGUGAGUAACACGUGGGUAACCUACCUAUAAGACUGGAAUAACUCCGGGAAACCGGGGCUAAUGCCGGAUAACAUUUAGAACCGCAUGGUUCUAAAGUGAAAGAUGGUUUUGCUAUCACUUAUAGAUGGACCCGCGCCGUAUUAGCUAGUUGGUAAGGUAACGGCUUACCAAGGCAACGAUACGUAGCCGACCUGAGAGGGUGAUCGGCCACACUGGAACUGGAACACGGUCCAGACUCCUACGGGAGGCAGCAGUAGGGAAUCUUCCGCAAUGGGCGAAAGCCUGACGGAGCGACGCCGCGUGAGUGAUGAAGGUCUUCGGAUCGUAAAACUCUGUUAUUAGGGAAGAACAAAUGUGUAAGUAACUGUGCACGUCUUGACGGUACCUAAUCAGAAAGCCACGGCUAACUACGUG
Molecule: ribosomal RNA, 497 nt
Filed under: uncultured bacterium
Lineage: Bacteria
Description: partial 16S ribosomal RNA
Rfam family: Bacterial small subunit ribosomal RNA
Source: RNAcentral